GGACGCUUAGCUCAGUUGGUUAGAGCACUAGUAUCACACACUAGGGGUCCCCGGUUCGAGCCCGGGAGCGUCCACCA
This 77-nucleotide transfer RNA is filed under the name Opitutaceae bacterium. RNAcentral's name for it is "tRNA-Val". The record is from RNAcentral. Lineage: Bacteria; Pseudomonadati; Verrucomicrobiota; Opitutia; Opitutales; Opitutaceae. RNAcentral also lists the same sequence under 2 other names.